Molecule: ribosomal RNA, 479 nt
Filed under: uncultured organism
Description: partial 16S ribosomal RNA
Rfam family: Bacterial small subunit ribosomal RNA
Source: RNAcentral
CGUACACUCCUACGGGAGGCAGCAGUGGGGAAUUUUGGACAAUGGGCGAAAGCCUGAUCCAGCCAUGCCGCGUGCAGGAUGAAGGCCUUCGGGUUGUAAACUGCUUUUGUACGGAACGAAACGGCCUUUUCUAAUAAAGAGGGCUAAUGACGGUACCGUAAGAAUAAGCACCGGCUAACUACGUGCCAGCAGCCGCGGUAAUACGUAGGGUGCAAGCGUUAAUCGGAAUUACUGGGCGUAAAGCGUGCGCAGGCGGUUAUGUAAGACAGUUGUGAAAUCCCCGGGCUCAACCUGGGAACUGCAUCUGUGACUGCAUAGCUAGAGUACGGUAGAGGGGGAUGGAAUUCCGCGUGUAGCAGUGAAAUGCGUAGAUAUGCGGAGGAACACCGAUGGCGAAGGCAAUCCCCUGGACCUGUACUGACGCUCAUGCACGAAAGCGUGGGGAGCAAACAGGAUUAGAAACCCUAGUAGUCCCAUGA